RNAcentral lists this non-coding RNA (441 nucleotides) under Apaloderma vittatum (bar-tailed trogon). RNAcentral describes it as "Eukaryotic small subunit ribosomal RNA". It matches the Rfam family "Eukaryotic small subunit ribosomal RNA", at positions 670 to 1112 of the family's 1831-position model. The record is from Rfam by way of RNAcentral. Lineage: Eukaryota; Metazoa; Chordata; Aves; Trogoniformes; Trogonidae.
GCUCUAGUUGCACCUAGUUUGGAGCCACGUUUCUACCUAUGGGCUGAACUGUAGUUGUCACCUUGCGGGUAAAGCCACGUAUUUACUUUGAGAAAAUUAGAGUGUUCAAAGCAGUCCAGCCGCCGGCAUACUGCAGCUAAGAAUAAUGGAAUAGGGCUCCAGUUCUAUUUUGUUGGUUUUCGGAAACGGGGCCAUGAUUAAGAGGGACGGCCAGAGGCAUUCCUAUUGUGCCGCUAGAGGUGAAAUUCUUGGACCAGCGCAAGAUGGCCUAGAGCGAAAGCAUUUGCCGAGAAUGUUUUCAUUAAUCAAGAAUGAAAGUCGGAGGUUCGAAGACGAUCAGAUACCAUCGUAGUUCCGACCAUAAACGAUGCCGACUGGUGAUCUGGCGACGUUAUUCCCGUGACCCGCCGGGCAGCUCCUGGGAAACCCAAGUCUUUGGGU